AGGGAAUCUUCCGCAAUGGACGAAAGUCUGACGGAGCAACGCCGCGUGAGUGAAGAAGGCCUUCGGGUCGUAAAACUCUGUUGCCGGGGAAGAACGAGUGCCGUUCGAACAGGGCGGUGCCUUGACGGUACCCGGCCAGAAAGCCACGGCUAACUACGUGCCAGCAGCCGCGGUAAUACGUAGGUGGCAAGCGUUGUCCGGAAUUAUUGGGCGUAAAGCGCGCGCAGGCGGUUUCUUAAGUCUGAUGUGAAAUCUUGCGGCUCAACCGCAAGCGGUCAUUGGAAACUGGGAGGCUUGGGUGCAGAAGAGGAGAGUGGAAUUCCACGUGUAGCGGUGAAAUGCGUAGAGAUGUGGAGGAACACCAGUGGCGAAGGCGACUCUCUGGGCUGUAACUGACGCUGAGGCGCGAAAGCGUGGGGAGCAAAC
This 426-nucleotide ribosomal RNA is filed under the name uncultured bacterium. RNAcentral describes it as "bacterial SSU rRNA". It matches the Rfam family "Bacterial small subunit ribosomal RNA", at positions 356 to 773 of the family's 1533-position model. The record is from RNAcentral.